CUAGUCUUAUCGGGGGAUC
This 19-nucleotide ribosomal RNA is filed under the name Rotylenchulus reniformis. RNAcentral's name for it is "partial 5.8S ribosomal RNA". Lineage: Eukaryota; Metazoa; Nematoda; Chromadorea; Rhabditida; Hoplolaimidae. The record is from RNAcentral.